GUGCUCACUUGGGCAGCACAUAAACUAAAAUUAGAAUGAUAUAGAGAAGAUUAGCACAGCCCCUGCACAAGGUCAUGAAGCAUUCCAUUUUUUA
This 94-nucleotide small nuclear RNA is filed under the name Castor canadensis (American beaver). Lineage: Eukaryota; Metazoa; Chordata; Mammalia; Rodentia; Castoridae. The record is from RNAcentral.